CCGCAGGGCCUUGUAAACAGUUGUCUUUGGUGGCACGACUGUGCCUCAGCAGGGCUCGGAGCUGGAGCCUGGGGAGAGGUGGUGUCGGUUCUCCUCCAGAUCAGGCCGGUUCUAAGGUUUCCUUCGAGAAUCCUGGUUUCGAAUAUAUCCCUAAAGAACUGUCUCCUAUAGAAGCACUUAAAGGACUUGAAGUCACACCAACCUCUUCACUCUUUUCCAGUCCAACCCGCUGGUCUUCCCAACCCUCUGAUAGUGAAAGGCUAGAAUCGGCUGGCAUUAACAUGCAACGCAGAUAA
Molecule: long non-coding RNA, 296 nt
Filed under: Homo sapiens (human)
Lineage: Eukaryota; Metazoa; Chordata; Mammalia; Primates; Hominidae
Description: HSALNT0237894
Source: RNAcentral